Molecule: ribosomal RNA, 253 nt
Filed under: uncultured bacterium
Lineage: Bacteria
Description: partial 16S ribosomal RNA
Rfam family: Bacterial small subunit ribosomal RNA
Source: RNAcentral
UACGAAGGGGGCUAGCGUUGCUCGGAAUCACUGGGCGUAAAGGGUGCGUAGGCGGGUCUUUAAGUCAGGGGGGAAAUCCUGGAGCUCAACUCCAGAACUGCCUUUGAUACUGAGGAUCUUGAGUACGGGAGAGGUGAGUGGAACUGCGAGUGUAGAGGUGAAAUUCGUAGAUAUUCGCAAGAACACCAGUGGCGAAGGCGGCUCACUGGCCCGAUACUGACGCUGAGGCACGAAAGCGUGGGGAGCAAACAGG